CCUGGUUAUUAAAAACAUGGCUUGUUGAUUAUAAUUUUAAGUYUGACCUGCCCCCUGAGGAGUUAAAUGGCCGCGGUAUCUUGACCGUGCAAAGGUAGCAUAAUCAUUAGUUUUUUAAUUGAAAGCUGGAAUGAAAGGUUUGAUGAGAAGGAGACUGUCUCUAUAAAAAUUUAUUAGAAUUUUAUUUUUAAGUAAGAAAGCUUAAAUAUAUAUAGAAGACGAGAAGACCCUAUAGAGUUUUAUAUCUAUAUUAGAUAUUGGAUUGUAGGUAUUUAAAAUCUGUUUUUUUAAUAUAAGUAUUUUGUUGGGGUGAUUGAAAAAUUAGUAGAACUUUUUUUGUAUUUAUACAUUGAUUUAUGAGUAAUUGAUCCUGAGGUUUAGAUUAUAAGAGUAAAUUACCUUAGGGAUAACAGCGUAAUUUUUUUUAGAGCUCUUAUCGAAAAAAAAGAUUGCGACCUCGAUGUUGGAUUAAAAUUAAUUAUUGGUGUAGAAGCUGAUAUAUUAGGUCUGUUCGACCUUUAAAAUUUUACAUGAUCUGAGUUUAAACCGGCGUGAGCCAGGUCGGUUUCUAUCU
RNAcentral lists this ribosomal RNA (574 nucleotides) under Trigonopterus sp. 143 AR-2020. RNAcentral describes it as "partial large subunit ribosomal RNA". The record is from RNAcentral. Lineage: Eukaryota; Metazoa; Arthropoda; Insecta; Coleoptera; Curculionidae.